RNAcentral lists this ribosomal RNA (253 nucleotides) under uncultured bacterium. RNAcentral's name for it is "partial 16S ribosomal RNA". It matches the Rfam family "Bacterial small subunit ribosomal RNA", at positions 524 to 776 of the family's 1533-position model. The record is from RNAcentral.
UACAGAGGUCUCAAGCGUUGUUCGGAUUCAUUGGGCGUAAAGGGUGUGUAGGUGGCGCGCUAAGUCAGGUGUGAAAUUUCGGAGCUUAACUCCGAAACUGCAUUCGAUACUGCGGUGCUUGAGGACUGGAGAGGAGACUGGAAUUUACGGUGUAGCAGUGAAAUGCGUAGAGAUCGUAAGGAAGACCAGUGGCGAAGGCGGGUCUCUGGACAGUUCCUGACACUGAGGCACGAAGGCCAGGGGAGCAAACGGG